CAUUUCCUUCUUCAACAGUGCCUCUCUUCACAUGAAGAGAGCAAACCCGCGGAAUCAUUGGCUAGAUAGCUCGAUGGCUUCUAUUUUUUCAGGUAUAUUUAUGUAUAUAUAUCUUAGGAUUUUUAGAUCCCAAUAAACCUAUUUGAUUUAAAAUUUGGGAUUUAAUUCUAACAAUUUAAGAUGUAAUAUUGGGAGGAGACACAGUUCGUCGAAAAGACACUACAAAAAUGAGAUGAGAAUUCUUUCAAAAGUUUUUUAAAAAAGUAUACAAGUUUAUUUUCUUAUCUUGUUGCUUUGAGUUUUCCCCUCUUAUUGUAUACUAAAAAUUCUUGUAUCAAUGUGCUUUUUGGUUCACUUAUUCUUUUGUGUUAAUUAUUAUUUCUUUUAAAUUUAUAAGGUGCAUUUCAAUCUAUUCAAUGCAAGAAGAUUAAGGAUUCAACCUUGAUGCCAAGAGUGAAAGUAGUUCAUCCUUGACCGCAGAAGAUCAUCUAGUGGCGACAUCUGAAAUUUCCGGAUCAAAUACUUAGAACUUAGUUUUCUUUUGACGUGGAACCCUUCAGAAUUUUAUAGAUUAUAGAUAACGGUGCAUAAUUUGUAUUAUACUCUUAUUAGUUUGACAAGAAUGUGAGUUUAAGUUGUUUCUAUUAUCUAGCUGCAUAUUAACUAGUUGUUAUGUCUCUUGUACAAGAGUUACAUACUUGUGGAAGUGUUGAUAUUAUGUACUGUAAUAGACAAUU
RNAcentral lists this long non-coding RNA (737 nucleotides) under Nicotiana tabacum (common tobacco). RNAcentral's name for it is "long non-coding RNA (NTAB_LNC012444)". The record is from RNAcentral. Lineage: Eukaryota; Viridiplantae; Streptophyta; Magnoliopsida; Solanales; Solanaceae.